GACGAACGCUGGCGGCGUGCUUAACACAUGCAAGUCGAACGGAAAGGCCCUGCUUUUGUGGGGUGCUCGAGUGGCGAACGGGUGAGUAACACGUGAGUAACCUGCCCUUGACUUUGGGAUAACUUCAGGAAACUGGGGCUCAUACCGGAUAGGAGCUCCUGCUGCAUGGUGUGGGUUGGAAAGUUUCGGCGGUUGGGGAUGGACUCGCGGCUUAUCAGCUUGUUGGUGGGGUAGGGGCUUACCAAGGCUUUGACGGGUAGCCGGCCUGAGAGGGUGACCGGCGACAUUGGGACUGAGAUACGGCCCAGACUCCUACGGGAGGCAGCAGUGGGGAAUAUUGCACAAUGGGCGGAAGCCUGAUGCAGCAACGCCGCGUGCGGGAUGACGGCCUUCGGGUUGUAAACCGCUUUCGCCUGUGACGAAGCGUGAGUGACGGUAAUGGGUAAAGAAGCACCGGCUAACUACGUG
RNAcentral lists this ribosomal RNA (468 nucleotides) under uncultured bacterium. RNAcentral's name for it is "partial 16S ribosomal RNA". It matches the Rfam family "Bacterial small subunit ribosomal RNA", at positions 28 to 507 of the family's 1533-position model. The record is from RNAcentral.